GACCCCAUAGAGUCCCAUAGGACCCCUUUAAGCCCCCAUGGAACCCCAUAGGACCCCAUAGGGACCCCAUAAGACCCCAUAAAACCCCAUGGGGACCCCAUAAAGACCCCAUAGGGACCCCAUAAGGACCCCAUAGAGCCCCAUAAGACCUCAUAGAGCCCCAUAGGACCCCAUUGGACCCCAUAUAACCCCAUAAGGACCCCAUAGGACCCCAUAAAGACCACUUUAAGCCCCCAUAGAUCCUCAUAAGGACCCCAUAGAGCCCCAUAGGGCCCCAUAAGGACCCCAUAAGGACCCCAUAGAGCCCCAUAGGACCCCUUUAAGCCCCCAUAGGACCCCAUAAAGCCCCCAUAAGACCCCAUAGGACCUCAUAAAGACCACAUAGAGCCCCACAGAGCCUCGCAAGGACCCCAUAGGGACCCCAUAGAACCCCAUGGGGACCCCAUAAGAACCCCAUAAGGACCCCAUAGAACCCCAUAAGACCUCAUAGAGCCCCAUAGGACCCCAUUGGACCCCAUAAAACCCCAUAAGGACCCCAUAGGAGCCCAUAAGACCCCAUAGGACCCCAUAGGACCCCAUAAAGCCCCCAUAGAGUCCCAUAGGACCCCAUAGAACCCCUUUAAGCCCCCAUAGGACCCCAUAAAGCCCCCAUAGAUCCCCAUAAGGACCCCAUAAGGACCCUAUAGGACCCCUUUAAACCCCCAUAGGACCCCAUAAAGACCUCAUAGAGUCCCAUAGGACUCAUUUAAGCCCCCAAAGGACCCCAUAAGGACCCCAUAGAACCCCAUAAGACCCUUUUAAGCCCCCAUAAGGACCCCAUAGAGCCCCAUAGGACCCUAUAAAGACCCCAUAGGGCCCCAUAAGGACCCCAUAGGACCCCAUAAAGACCCCAUAAAGACCACUUGAAGCCCCCAUAGAACCCCAUAGGACCCCAUAGAGCCUCAUAAGGACCCCAUAGGACCCCAUAAGACCCCAUAAGGACCCCAUAAGACCCCAUAAGGACCCCAUAGGACCCCAUAAGACCCCAUAGAACUCCAUGAGACCCUUUUAAUCCCACAUAAGGACCCCAUAGAGCCUCAUAAGGACCCCAUAGGACCCCAUAAAGACCCCAUAGGACCCCAUAAGGGCCCCAUAGAGCCCCAUAGGGCCCCAUAAGGACCCCAUAAGGACCCCAUAGAGCCCCAUAGGACCCCUUUAAGCCCCCAUAAGGACCCCAUAA
Long non-coding RNA from Gallus gallus (chicken), 1219 nucleotides. The record is from Ensembl. NCBI's taxonomy places the organism in Eukaryota, Metazoa, Chordata, Aves, Galliformes, Phasianidae.